This 497-nucleotide ribosomal RNA is filed under the name uncultured bacterium. RNAcentral's name for it is "partial 16S ribosomal RNA". It matches the Rfam family "Bacterial small subunit ribosomal RNA", at positions 28 to 507 of the family's 1533-position model. The record is from RNAcentral.
GAUGAACGCUGGCGGCGUGCCUAAUACAUGCAAGUCGAGCGAACGGACGAGUAGCUUGCUUUUCUGAUGUUAGCGGCGGACGGGUGAGUAACACGUGGAUAACCUACCUAUAAGACUGGGAUAACUUCGGGAAACCGGAGCUAAUACCGGAUAAUAUUUUGAACCGCAUGGUUCAAAAGUGAAAGACGGUCUUGCUGUCACUUAUAGAUGGAUCCGCGCUGCAUUAGCUAGUUGGUAAGGUAACGGCUUACCAAGGCAACGAUGCAUAGCCGACCUGAGAGGGUGAUCGGCCACACUGGAACUGAGACACGGUCCAGACUCCUACGGGAGGCAGCAGUAGGGAAUCUUCCGCAAUGGGCGAAAGCCUGACGGAGCAACGCCGCGUGAGUGAUGAAGGUCUUCGGAUCGUAAAACUCUGUUAUUAGGGAAGAACAUAUGUGUAAGUAACUGUGCACAUCUUGACGGUACCUAAUCAGAAAGCCACGGCUAACUACGUG